AUUGAACGCUGGCGGCAGGCCUAACACAUGCAAGUCGAGCGGAUGAAGGGAGCUUGCUCCUGGAUUCAGCGGCGGACGGGUGAGUAAUGCCUAGGAAUCUGCCUGGUAGUGGGGGAUAACGUCCGGAAACGGGCGCUAAUACCGCAUACGUCCUGAGGGAGAAAGUGGGGGAUCUUCGGACCUCACGCUAUCAGAUGAGCCUAGGUCGGAUUGGCUAGUUGGUGGGGUAAAGGCCUACCAAGGCGACGAUCCGUAACUGGUCUGAGAGGAUGAUCAGUCACACUAGAACUGAGACACGGUCCAGACUCCUACGGGAGGCAGCAGUGGGGAAUAUUGGACAAUGGGCGAAAGCCUGAUCCAGCCAUGCCGCGUGUGUGAAGAAGGUCUUCGGAUUGUAAAGCACUUUAAGUUGGGAGGAAGGGCAGUAAGUUAAUACCUUGCUGUUUUGACGUUACCAACAGAAUAAGCACCGGCUAACUUCGUG
RNAcentral lists this ribosomal RNA (484 nucleotides) under uncultured bacterium. RNAcentral describes it as "partial 16S ribosomal RNA". It matches the Rfam family "Bacterial small subunit ribosomal RNA", at positions 30 to 507 of the family's 1533-position model. The record is from RNAcentral.